UACGAAGGGGGCUAGCGUUGCUCGGAAUCACUGGGCGUAAAGGGUGCGUAGGCGGGUCUUUAAGUCAGGGGUGAAAUCCUGGAGCUCAACUCCAGAACUGCCUUUGAUACUGGGGAUCUUGAGUACGGGAGAGGUGAGUGGAACUGCGAGUGUAGAGGUGAAAUUCGUAGAUAUUCGCAAGAACACCAGUGGCGAAGGCGGCUCACUGGCCCGUUACUGACGCUGAGGCACGAAAGCGUGGGGAGCAAACAGG
RNAcentral lists this ribosomal RNA (253 nucleotides) under uncultured bacterium. Its description in RNAcentral is "partial 16S ribosomal RNA". It matches the Rfam family "Bacterial small subunit ribosomal RNA", at positions 524 to 776 of the family's 1533-position model. The record is from RNAcentral.